This is a long non-coding RNA of Etheostoma cragini (Arkansas darter), 1060 nucleotides long. RefSeq lists it as uncharacterized. Lineage: Eukaryota; Metazoa; Chordata; Actinopteri; Perciformes; Percidae. The transcript is spliced from 3 exons. The record is from RefSeq and is a predicted model, not a curated record.
AGCUUAUCCCAACAAUUCUGAAAGAAAAAGAAGCAUUUGAUAAGUUAGUCUUAAAAAUUGUGAAAAAUGUUUCUUCUUCCCGCUGAAAUUUGCUGAGAUUUCGGAAUCAAAGUGAUGAUUGGCACAAAUACAGUGCAAGCAGGCAACAGAAUGUGCCCUAAAAUAACUAGUAAUGGCUGCUUUGGAAAAUGAGUAAAUAUUUAAACAAUGAUAAAACAAAUAACUUGUCAAUAAUUGUUGAAGUGAACAGCAAGAAUGGAGUAAAAACAAUUCCUGUUACUUCAUUCUUGUAAACAAAGACCAACAUGUUCUCUACUGCGCCCCCUGCCUUCUACGGUCCUCAAAACACGUUGAGAUCGAUAAACAAGUGGAUUUAAACCCCGAGUAGAUGCUCAUAUUGAUCUCUCACGGCCUGACAGUCAGCUCUUCUGCUUAAUAACUACUUAAAGCUGUCCAAACCAAAAAUUACUAAACAAAAGCCAUUAUUAAUACUAUGAUCAUUGUAGACAAAGCUCGUUACCUAAGCACUUAAUUUAAAUAAUGAUUUCCGCUUUUCCUCUUUUUAAUGUGCAAAUUUAAAAAUAAUUCAAACAACAUUCUUACAUAAAUGUAGCGUUGGCAGUGACGUGAAUACGUAUAGAAAUCACACAAGUGAUAGAGAAUAAAGAAAUCCUCCUCAACUUGAUGUCAAAUUCAACUUUCUGUGUGAGCGUUAACAUGAAAACGUUGGUUUGCUAAAUGAAACGUACAAAUUAUAAUUUUAUUAAUUUAAUUAUUGUAUAUUCUAAAUUGGAAUAUGUUCUUCUUUAGUUGGUUCUGCAUGUCCACUGUAAGCCAGACAAUUACGUCAUGGAAAUGUAAGUCCAGCAGGAGGAAUGGGCGAAACAAAAGGAAACGUACGAAGAGAGGAAAAGAGUGGGUUGAAAAAAAAAAUGGACAAAACAAUAUAUACAUCUAUGCAUUGAGUAGUUAACAUUUACAAUAAACGGGUUUGUUAAAAGUGGGAAAAACGAAAUAGCCUAGCUAGCUGUCAAAAAUAAAAGUUGUUCUGUUAAUAAAC